This 250-nucleotide ribosomal RNA is filed under the name uncultured bacterium. RNAcentral describes it as "partial 16S ribosomal RNA". It matches the Rfam family "Bacterial small subunit ribosomal RNA", at positions 355 to 597 of the family's 1533-position model. The record is from RNAcentral.
UGGGGAAUAUUGGACAAUGGGGGCAACCCUGAUCCAGCGAUGCCGCGUGUGUGAAGAAGGCCUGAGGGUUGUAAAGCACUUUAGUUGGGGAGGAGAGGCUUAAGUCGAAUAGGCUUAAGAGUAGACGUUACCCAAAGAAUAAGCACCGGCUAACUCUGUGCCAGCAGCCGCGGUAAUACAGAGGGUGCAAGCGUUAAUCGGAAUGACUGGGCGUAAAGGGCACGUAGGCGGAUAGAUGUGUCAUAGGUGA